UACGUGGUUUGGAAUUUGUACGUGUUUUAGAGUCUGUACGUUCUUCGGAAUUUGUAUGUGCUUUGGAGUUUGUACGUGUGUUUAAUUGACGAGAAACAGCUAAAGACAAUGCCACGUUGUGAUUUUUGUGGCAAGUCCGUGAGGACACUGAAGGGUUAUGUGCUUCAUUGCAAACUUCAUCGGAAUGAGCCGCGAUGCACAUUUAAGUGUUUUGGAGCAGGCAGACAUUUUGCAAGUAUGGGGCUUUCAAGGCGCAUUUUUAUCGAAAGCACAUUUCUCCCACUCCUGUUACCGACAAGAUUACGCUUAGCACUUUUAAAUGCGCAGUGGCAUUGUGUGAACGUCAGUUUACAGACUCGAAAGUUCUAAUAGCUCACUUGAAGGACCAUUUUGAGGAAGGACGUGAGGUUACUUGUCCACUAAGAGGGUGCACAAGUGUUUUCACAGUCAAAUCUUCAUUUACCGCCCACAUGUCACGGAAACAUAAAAACUUUGCAGAUGGAGGCAUCAGUGAUUGGUACAAGGAUUGUGCACCUCAGUCAUGUCCCACUGUUGAAGCAGAAUUACUUAAUUGUGGACCUGACAUCUCUGAAGCAGGCACAGAGACGGUCCCAAUAGAGGUUGAUUCUGAAUUAUCUGAAGAUUUUAGAGAUCUUUUCCUCAGAAAUAUAAGUUUAUUCUACUUGAAAUUGCAAGGACAGUUUCUGCUACCUGCUUCUACCAUCCAGACCAUUGUAGAGGAAAUACAAAACAUACAUGAAUUGGGUCAGUCAUAUACAUUGGAUAACCUCACUACACUCCUAAAAACUAACACAACAUUGUCUGACGAGGGUAUUGCCAAGCUCUGUGAGGCGGUCAAGGGAUCCGAUCUGUUUUCCGCAUGUCAUAAAGGGCCAAUGAGGACAACAUACUCCAGAGUACAGUCCUUCAAAGAAAUGUUUAACUAUGUGGAGCCCAAGAAAAUUUUUUUAGGACAAAGCCAGAAUAGAACUGAUCAGUUUGCAUACUAUGUACCUCUAAGAGAGACUUUGAAAUGUUUGUUAAACUCUGAUUUGUGGCAGAAAUGUGUAACAGGUGAGCAGUCAGCUGGCUCUUCAUCAGAUGUACUGUGUGACAUUAGUGAUGGUAGGAUAUUCAAAAGCAAUAAUUUUUUUGACACAAAUCCAUCAUGUCUCAAACUACUGCUAUAUCAAGACGCCUUUGAAGUUGUUAAUCCUUUAGGCUCUGCAAAGACAAAACAUAAAGUAUUAGCUGUUUAUGUGUCUGUUGCUAAUUUGCCACUUCAUGUUCGGUCUGACACAGACCACAUGUUUCUUGUGUUAUUAUGUCGAGAGAAAGACUUCAGAGAGUUUGGACAUGCAAAUGUGUUCUCUGAAUUACUAACAGAUUUGAAGGAACUUGAGGAAAAUGGCAUAGUGACAUCAGAUAAAACUGUAGUCAAAGGAACCUUGUUUUGCAUUGCUGGAGAUAAUUUGGGCUCAGAUUGCAUUGGUGGCUUCUGUGAAAACUUUAGUCGUACACAUCAUUUCUGUAGGUACUGUCUAAUGACACAAUCUGAUUUUCAGAGUGGCGACCCAAAUCAGUGUGGUGCAGAACGCACCAAGGAAACAUACAACUCUGCUGUUGAACGCCUCAAGACUGAAGAAAUGGGUGAUAUGGACCAAAGCAGCAUAAGUAAUGCCAUUACAAAGGUUUUGCCCGACCUUGCACCUUCAGUUCUUGGUAUUGUUGUGGAGACACUGCAGUCAUUGGGUGUAGAAACCACUGAAGAUUUUGACUUCGUCCAGGAGAGUGAUUUGAUGUCCGUUCUUAGACUGAUUCAAGCAAGAAAACUGGUGGCUGCGUGGAAAAAAAACUCACAAAGUACUGAAAUUCACAUCCAGUCAUCAUUAUCCUCUUCUACCUCACCAACAAGCUCCUCAGUCUCUCUUUCACCUUCACCUGGCCGAGUCCUUGCUGUUUUAGACUGGGUUGACAGCUUCCAGAUUCCAUGGGAUAAGUUUCCAGAAGCUUUGCUGCAGUGUUUGGAGAGAGGGAAGAGGCCAGCGCCAAAGUUGAGAAGAGAAAUGAUCCGUAUUGUUGCUUCUGAAAUGAUGAAAGUAAGCGCAUCUCCGAGUAAGCAAGCUUCAACUGAAGUAGCCAAAAAACUGAUUGCCAAGUAUCCACAGUCACUGCAAGAUGUCAUAGAAGGCGAUGUGGUGGGAUCAGGGUAUCACUCACUGGUUAAGCAGUUACAAGCAAGAAUAGAAAAUGUUAAGCGGUCUUCAACACCCAGGAUAAAGAAGCGCAAGGAGUGUUCAGAUGAUUCUUUAACAGAUGAAGUCCCAGCUGAAAAAAAGGCUGCUGUUCAGGACACAUAUGGUUGCAUCAAGUGGGACAUGAAAUUCAUGCCAGUGACUGAGACAACAGAAAGUCAGGAGAAAAAAUAAAAAAUGAAGAGGCUUCAUCGUGAGACCAAUGUCAGCCUAGCUGAGGUGGAAAAUCUCAUGAAGUGUACUUAUUACUCUCAACGCAAGGAUAUAAACAAUGGAGAAGAACUGCAAACCCUGUUGGAGGAAUGGCCUUUCUUGUUCCAGGAGGUUGGAAUGGCAGUCCAUUUCUACGAGCUCACUGGGGUUUCACUGAAGGAGACUUUCCUUAACAGUCUGGAGAAAAAGGGAAAACGACUGCUCGACUUCAUGCGAAACACUUGUGCUGAUAAGAGCAAAAGGGUUUUGCAGGCUGUCACAAAACUACAAAUACUUAGAGGACAGUUGCAAGGCUGCUCAGAGGAUGUUAAGGACAUGGUCCUUCUUCUCCUGUCCUAUUUUGAUGAGAGAGAGGAGAAUCUAUUCCAUCAUGUUGAACAAACAUGUCUGGGACACGAGAUUCAAAUGGAAAGCCUGCCAGUAACUCCAUGUAUCAUUGUGUGCGGAUCUUCUUGCUAUUCUUCAACCCGAUUCAUGCUUGCUGUAGACCGUAAAGUUGUAAAUGACAACAUUCCCACCUUCAUUUCUGCCAUCUGCUUGAUGUUUGGAAGUUACUACUGCCUCAAUAUUCACUAUCCUGUGGACCUUUGCUCAACACUCGAGUUUCUUCAGAGAUGCUGUUUCAACUUCAAUCCAGAAAAGGGCACAAAGGUGGAAACAAAGAAGAACAAGAAGCAACUGUCUGUGAACCCAAGAGUGCUCACUCUUAUUGCAGAUCUUUCAGACCACGAGUGGCGAGAGACAUGUUAAAAAUGGACUUGUGCAAUGUUGUUAAGUCUCAGCUCUCACAUCACUGGCUGUGUGACAUCUUUAUUCUAAUGUAGCAGUUAGCCACUGGUUUUAAAGGUUUUUCUCCUGCUCGUUUCUGAAGUCAGUUCUGUGUUUUUAUAAGAACAGUCUUUUAAUUUUAUUCUGAUUUGCAUCAAUUACAUACGUGGUUUCAGAUGUUUAAAUUUGUGGACAUUUUUCCCUUAAAGUUUAAAACACAACUAACAUACUGAAUAUUUGGAGAAAUUAAUGGAUCUUGAAGCAUUGACAACAAUUCUUACAUUUUAGGUUCAGUAAACUUGAAAUAGGUCAAUGUUUAAUUUUGUUGAAUGUAUAUUAUUCACGGACAAGGUCAAUUUUUUGUAAUUUUUGUAAUUAUCAUUUUUGUUUUUUGACACUGUUAUGAACAAAUUUAUUAAUCUGAGCAAUAAAUAAGAGGUUAAAAAAAGAG
Oreochromis niloticus (Nile tilapia) is the source of this 3687-nucleotide non-coding RNA. The record is from RefSeq and is a predicted model, not a curated record. NCBI's taxonomy places the organism in Eukaryota, Metazoa, Chordata, Actinopteri, Cichliformes, Cichlidae.